Paramuricea clavata is the source of this 264-nucleotide non-coding RNA. NCBI's taxonomy places the organism in Eukaryota, Metazoa, Cnidaria, Anthozoa, Malacalcyonacea, Plexauridae. The record is from the annotation of a GenBank genome assembly.
CGCGGGCAGAAACAAAGCUCCAUUAUAUUACAUUUAAUACAUUCAAAACAAAGCCACAGAAUGGAUACUAGACCAGAAGGGACACUCCUAUGUGUUUUGGCAUGGGAAAAACGUCCGAAAUUUUUUACGUGCUAUGACGCCAUCCUGGAGUGCACACGGCACUUUGUACCUAUGUUUGUCCUAUGAAAAACUUCCGUGUGCACUCCAGGAUGGCGUCAUAUGAUGGCGUAUUUUCACGUCAGCACUCGUAAAAUUUCGGAUGAA